Molecule: ribosomal RNA, 497 nt
Filed under: uncultured bacterium
Lineage: Bacteria
Description: partial 16S ribosomal RNA
Rfam family: Bacterial small subunit ribosomal RNA
Source: RNAcentral
GAUGAACGCUGGCGGCGUGCCUAAUACAUGCAAGUCGAGCGAACGGACGAGAAGCUUGCUUUUCUGAUGUUAGCGGCGGACGGGUGAGUAACACGUGGAUAACCUACCUAUAAGACUGGGAUAACUUCGGGAAACCGGAGCUAAUACCGGAUAAUAUUUUGAACCGCAUGGUUCAAAAGUGAAAGACGGUCUUGCUGUCACUUAUAGAUGGAUCCGCGCUGCAUUAGCUAGUUGGUAAGGUAACGGCUUACCAAGGCAACGAUGCAUAGCCGACCUGAGAGGGUGAUCGGCCACACUGGAACUGAGACACGGUCCAGACUCCUACGGGAGGCAGCAGUAGGGAAUCUUCCGCAAAGGGCGAAAGCCUGACGGAGCAACGCCGCGUGAGUGAUGAAGGUCUUCGGAUCGUAAAACUCUGUUAUUAGGGAAGAACAUAUGUGUAAGUAACUGUGCACAUCCUGACGGUACCUAAUCAGAAAGCCACGGCUAACUACGUG